GAUUAACGCUAGCGGCAGGCCUAAUACAUGCAAGUCGAACGGGAUUCAAAGUAGCAAUAUUUUGAUGAGAGUGGCGCACGGGUGAGUAACACGUAUGCAAUUUACCUUUAACUGGGGGAUAGCCCUCCGAAAGGAGGAUUAAUACCGCAUAAUAUAUUGAAAUGGCAUCAUUUUAAUAUUAAACCUACGGGGGUUAAAGAUGAGCAUGCAUCCGAUUAGCUAGUUGGUGUGGUAACGGCUCACCAAGGCAACGAUCGGUAGGGGGUCUGAGAGGAUGAUCCCCCACACUGGUACUGAGACACGGACCAGACUCCUACGGGAGGCAGCAGUAAGGAAUAUUGGACAAUGGAGGCAACUCUGAUCCAGCCAUGCCGCGUGAAGGAUUAAGGCCCUAUGGGUUGUAAACUUCUUUUAGACGGGACAAAACCCCUUUACGUGUAAAGGGUUGAUGGUACUGUCAGAAUAAGCAUCGGCUAACUUCGUG
Molecule: ribosomal RNA, 484 nt
Filed under: uncultured bacterium
Lineage: Bacteria
Also listed under: 1 other name
Description: bacterial SSU rRNA
Rfam family: Bacterial small subunit ribosomal RNA
Source: RNAcentral